UUUUAUUUUAUAUUUUUUAUCCCACCCCAAUGUUUUGUGUUUUAUUUUAUAUUUUGUGUUUUAUUUUAUGUUUUGUGUUUUAUUUUAUAUUUUUUCCCCCCACCCUGACAUUUUGUGUUUUAUUUUAGGGUUUUCCACCCACUUUUGGGGUUUUCCCAAAGUUUUUCCCGGAAGUUUCGUUGCCGUGUCCGGAGGGGAAAGUUCUGGAAUGUCCUGAAUUGCUGGGGGACGUUAUUUAAUUAGGGAAUAAAUGUUAAUUAAUGAUUCAUCAGGAAUUGGUUAUUGAUUAAUGAGCUGCCACCACCCAAACCCUUCACCCCAAAAAUCCAAACCCUUCAUCCCAAAAUCCAAAUCCCAAAAUCCAAAUCCCAAAAUCCAAAUCCUUCAUCCCAAAAUCCAAACCCUUCACCCCAAAAUCCAAAUCCCAAAAUCCAAACCCUUCAUCCCAAAAUCCAAAUCUCAGAUUCCAAAUCCUUCACCCCAAAAUCCAAACCCUUCAUCCCAAAAUCCAAAUCCCAAAAUCCAAAUCCUUCACCCCAAAAUCCAAAUCCUUCAUCCCAAAUCCCCAAAUCCUUCAUCCUAAAUUUUGAAAUCUCCCAUCCCAAAUUCCUGAAUCUUUUAUCCCAAAUCCUUGAUCCAAAAAUCCCAAAUCCUUUACCUCUAAUCCCCCAAAUCCCCCAAACCCUUCAUCCCAAAUUCCUGAUCCCAAAUCCUCAGAUCCUUCAUCCCAAAUCCUUUACCCCAAAUCCCCCAAACCCUUCAUCCCAAAUUCUUGAUCCAAAAUUCCCAAAUUCCUCAUUCCAAUUCCCCCAAAUCUCCCAUCCCAAAAAUCCCCAAAUCCCAAAUCCCCAAAUCCCUCAUCCCAAAUCCCCAAACCCUUCCUCCAAAAUCCCAAAAUCCUUGAUCCAAAAUCCCAAAAUCCUUGAUCCAAAAAUUCCAAAUCCCAAAUCCCAAAUCCCCCAAAUCCUUCAUCCCAAAUUCCCAAAUCCUUCAUCCCAAAUUCCCAAAUCCUUGACUCCAAAUUCCCAAAUCUUUUAUCCCAAAUUCCCAAACCCUUCCUCCAAAAUCCCAAAAUCCUUGAUCCAAAAAUCCCAAAUCCCCCAAAUCUUUUAUCCCAAGUUCCUAAAUCCCCCAUCCCAAAUCCUUGACUCCAAAUUCCCAAAUCUUUGAUCCAAAAUUUCCCAAACCCUUCAUCCCAAAUCCCCAAAUCCUUCCUCCAAAAUCCCAAAAUCCUUGAUCCAAAGAUCCCAAAUCCCAAAUCCCCCAAAUCCUUCAUCCCAAAAUCCCAAAUCCCUCAUCCCAAAUCCCAAAAUCCUUGAUCCAAAAAUCCCAAACCCUUCAUCCCAAAUCCCCCAAAUCCUUGAUCCGAACUUCCCCAAUCCUUUAUCCCAAAUGCCCCAAAAUCUGUACCCCAAAAUCCAAAAUCCUUCACCUCAGAUCCCCCAAAUCCUUCAUCCCAAAUCCCCAAAUCUUUUAUCCCAAAUUCCCCAUCCCAAAUUCCCAAAUCCUUCAUCCCAAAUCUCCCAUCCUAAAUUCCCAAACCCUUCAUUCCAAUUCCCCCAAAUCUCCCAUCCCAAAAAUCCCCAAACCCU
Long non-coding RNA from Zonotrichia albicollis (white-throated sparrow), 1592 nucleotides. NCBI's taxonomy places the organism in Eukaryota, Metazoa, Chordata, Aves, Passeriformes, Passerellidae. The record is from Ensembl.